UCUUAUCAUCUUCUCAAAUUUUUUUACAGGUUUAAUGUUUUAUUCUUCCUCAUCCCAUUCAUAUUUCUUUUUGUAUUUACUUGUGAGUAUGUUUAAUUUUUACUGUCUGUUUAUAUACUUUAUUACCAGUUGUUUACUGAUCUCUAGAAUGGUAUUCAUCUGCAUCAUUUAGAUUGAUCUCGCUUUCAUCUCGUAUCAAUCAAUCAUACCUCCUGAGCAGAG
RNAcentral lists this long non-coding RNA (222 nucleotides) under Elaeis guineensis (African oil palm). RNAcentral describes it as "long non-coding RNA (EGUI_LNC060714)". The record is from RNAcentral. Lineage: Eukaryota; Viridiplantae; Streptophyta; Magnoliopsida; Arecales; Arecaceae.